Molecule: ribosomal RNA, 464 nt
Filed under: uncultured bacterium
Lineage: Bacteria
Description: bacterial SSU rRNA
Rfam family: Bacterial small subunit ribosomal RNA
Source: RNAcentral
GGAGGAAAGCAGGGGAUCGCAAGACCUUGCACUUUUGGAGCGGCCGAUGUCUGAUUAGCUAGUUGGUGGGGUAAAGGCCUACCAAGGCGACGAUCAGUAGUUGGUCUGAGAGGACGACCAGCCACACUGGGACUGAGACACGGCCCAGACUCCUACGGGAGGCAGCAGUGGGAAUUUUGGACAAUGGGCGCAAGCCUGAUCCAGCAAUGCCGCGUGAGUGAAGAAGGCCUUCGGGUUGUAAAGCUCUUUCAGUCGAGAAGAAAAGGCUGUGGUAAAUAAUCGCAGCUCAUGACGGUAUCGACAGAAGAAGCACCGGCUAACUACGUGCCAGCAGCCGCGGUAAUACGUAGGGUGCAAGCGUUAAUCGGAAUUACUGGGCGUAAAGGGUGCGCAGGCGGUUUUGUAAGUCAGAUGUGAAAUCCCCGGGCUUAACCUGGGAAUUGCGUUUGAAACUACAAGGCUAG